Small nuclear RNA from Carcharodon carcharias (great white shark), 104 nucleotides. The record is from RefSeq and is a predicted model, not a curated record. NCBI's taxonomy places the organism in Eukaryota, Metazoa, Chordata, Chondrichthyes, Lamniformes, Lamnidae.
GAUAAAGGCUGACAUACCAUAUUAAAAUUGGAAUGAUACAGAGAAGAUUAGCAUGGCCCCUGCACAAGGAUGACACGCAAAUUCGUGAAGCGUUCCAUAUUUGA